Molecule: ribosomal RNA, 621 nt
Filed under: uncultured bacterium
Lineage: Bacteria
Description: bacterial SSU rRNA
Rfam family: Bacterial small subunit ribosomal RNA
Source: RNAcentral
GCGGCGUGCCUAAUACAUGCAAGUCGCACGGACACCUUCGGGUGUCAGUGGCGGACGGGUGAGUAACACGUGGGUAACCUGCCUCACAGCCUGGGAUAACGCCUGGAAACGGGUGCUAAUCCCGGAUAGAUUCUUACGCCGCAUGGUGUAGGGAGGAAAGCUGCCGCAAUGCAGCACUGAGAGAUGGGCCCGCGGCGCAUUAGCUAGUUGGUGAGGUAACGGCCCACCAAGGCAACGAUGCGUAGCCGACCUGAGAGGGUGACCGGCCACACUGGGACUGAGACACGGCCCAGACUCCUACGGGAGGCAGCAGUAGGGAAUCUUCCGCAAUGGGCGCAAGCCUGACGGAGCAACGCCGCGUGAGUGAAGACGGUCUUCGGAUUGUAAAGCUCUGUUGCCAGAGACGAGCGGAUAGGAGAGGGAAUGCUCCUAUCGAGACGGUAUCUGGUCAGAAAGCCCCGGCUAACUACGUGCCAGCAGCCGCGGUAAUACGUAGGGGGCAAGCGUUGUCCGGAAUGACUGGGCGUAAAGCGCGCGCAGGCGGUCUAUCACGUCUGGGGUGAAAGUUCAGGGCUCAACCCUGAGAUGGCCUUGGAAACGGGGGGGACUUUGAGGGUCGGA